Molecule: long non-coding RNA, 1096 nt
Organism: Sander lucioperca (pikeperch)
Lineage: Eukaryota; Metazoa; Chordata; Actinopteri; Perciformes; Percidae
Exons: 4
Source: RefSeq, a predicted model, not a curated record
UCCUGCGAAUCAAGUCCGAAAAUUAGACCAAGAGCUUCCAAAGUAUAGGAGUAUUUAAGGGUGGUCUGUACAUUCUGUCAAACUUCACUUGCUUAUCACGGGAGCACAACCACGAUGCACGAGCACCUAAAAAGGAAACACACAGGAGUUGUUCAAGAUGCGCCCACAGAAAAGGAAAAGACAAUGCAAGUAUAUGAUUAUUAAUGAAACGGCGAGCUAGUCUGUACUGUUUAUUAACUCUUGAGAAGUACAAUGACUGUCUUUGGAUGUUAAACAGGCUACUUAGACUUUGGCAGUAAUGUUUUAAACCCCGCCAUGCAUGCAAGUGUAAACGUGAGCAGCACAGCUGCGUGCCUGCCUGCUUUCAGUGCGAUUCAUUAUUAAGCAGAGCUAAGCGGGGCCAGUGUAAGUUGCUUUAUAAAAGUGUUUUUUGGUCUUGUAAUUUACAGGAAGCAGUACGCCGUCUUCACAACUCAGAGACAAAUUGUAGGCGCUACGAACCGGAGCAAGGACUAACCUCGCCUCAUAACCAGGCCGUGACCUCCUAUUUGCUCGGAGUUAUGUCUGCAAGUCCAUAUUUUCAUGAUGCUGAUAAUGACGCCAUUGUGUCUGCCUGUAAGACAUAUUACGAGACAACACGCAGGAGCUUCAGGUAUAAACAACCAGAUCUGGCAUCGCGGGCGGAAGCUGUGAAAAGUUCAGCUCGGAGUCGGUCGACAAGAAAGAGGCUGCUGGAAGCGAGACAGAGUGUGCUGGCAAGGUGGACAUUUGGAAGUGCACCACGGUAGACCUGACGUCUGAUGAGGAAGACGCCAUCGUUGACGGCGUGUCUGGAUGGAUUGUGCGACCUCCGUCCUUUCGCAGCCAGGAGCUCACAGAGCUCUGUGCCACGCUGCAGUCGAGAUUAGAGGCGAGUCCGAAAUACAGGGCACCGCACCACAGACGUCUGCAAAAUGGACCGAAUUCAGACAGAAUGCCGCCAGGCAGGCAGACAGUUGAUGGUGCUGUAGGAUUUGGCUUCUCGUGAGCGUGGGAGAUUUGUUGUGUGCUGUGUGUCUCCUAUGCUUUGUACAUAGUUUUUUUCUGAUUGCGUUUG